Long non-coding RNA from Corythoichthys intestinalis (scribbled pipefish), 678 nucleotides. RefSeq lists it as uncharacterized. The record is from RefSeq and is a predicted model, not a curated record. The transcript has 3 exons. NCBI's taxonomy places the organism in Eukaryota, Metazoa, Chordata, Actinopteri, Syngnathiformes, Syngnathidae.
CUCCGCUGUCUGUUUGCCUCUUGUUAAGUGUAGAAAAGGCUACAAAGUUAUGUGAUUGUUUGCUUAAGAUGUUCACAGUUGCUCGUUCAAUGCCUUCAGCAUCAUUUGAUUCCCACAUUUGGCUGACGUAAAUAGGUGAAAAGUUGGAUUGCGCAUGCACCGUACCAGAAUGCGGAUGUCAAUAGUAAGAAAGUCACGGGUGGAUGCACGACAUGAGCGUGCGUCUAAUUGUGUGUUUGUUCAUUGCUGUGCGUAAAUGCAAAGUUCCGAGUGUGGAAUUUGCCCGAAAGAAAGACGAUGACAGACAAAGGAAAGACGAGAAAAAGCAAAUGCUUAUCGAUACCCGUCCCCCAACAGCUCGGCACGCACAGUCAAGCAUGUCGGCAUUGUCAAUGAAGAAAUGGCUGAGCGAAUUUCUUCUGCUGCGGCUACUUCUUCUACUUCCUCUUCUCCACGGGAUGAUACAUACUGUAUAACCUAGAGUCUGUGUCACAUGACCAGUGAAGUGAGCAUAACCUAACUUGAUUGCCUGGACGGCCAAUAAAAUGAGACGGGGAUCGAAUGCUUCUCCUUGGCUACCCGGAUGUUGUGAAUUAAUUUUUGCGGCUAAAAUUUUUUUGCUGCAGAAUUUUUAUGAUUGAAGUUUUUGCUGCAAAAUAUUGAUACUUGAAAAAAAAU